CAGUCGAACGAAGCGUGCCGGAGGAAGUUUUCGGAUGGAAUCCGGGAUGACUGAGUGGCGGACGGGUGAGUAACGCGUGGGUAACCUGCCCUGUACAGGGGGACAACAGUUAGAAAUGACCGCUAAUACCGCAUAAGCGCACAGGACCGCAUGGUCCGGUGUGAAAAACUCCGGUGGUACAGGAUGGACCCGCGUCUGAUUAGGUAGUUGGCGGGGUAACGGCCCACCAAGUCGACGAUCAGUAGCCGACCUGAGAGGGUGACCGGCCACAUUGGGACUGAGACACGGCCCAAACUCCUACGGGAGGCAGCAGUGGGGAAUAUUGCACAAUGGGGGGAACCCUGAUGCAGCGACGCCGCGUGAGUGAAGAAGUAUUUCGGUAUGUAAAGCUCUAUCAGCAGGGAAGAAAAUGACGGUACCUGACUAAGAAGCCCCGGCUAACUACGUGCCAGCAGCCGCGGUAAUACGUAGGGGGCAAGCGUUAUCCGGAUUUACUGGGUGUAAAGGGAGCGUAGACGGCAGAGCAAGUCUGAAGUGAAAGCCCGCGGCCCAACUGCGGGACUGCUUUGGAAACUGCCCGGCUAGAGUGCUGGAGAGGUAAGCGGAAUUCCUAGUGUAGCGGUGAAAUGCGUAGAUAUUAGGAGGAACACCAGUGGCGAAGGCGGCUUACUGGACAGUAACUGACGUUGAGGCUCGAAAGCGUGGGGAGCAAACAGGAUUAGAUACCCUGGUAGUCCACGCCGUANACGAUGAAUACUAGGUGUUGGUGGGNAAAGCCCAUCGGUGCCGCCGCAAACGCAGUAAGUAUUCCACCUGGGGAGUACG
Molecule: ribosomal RNA, 825 nt
Filed under: uncultured bacterium
Lineage: Bacteria
Description: bacterial SSU rRNA
Rfam family: Bacterial small subunit ribosomal RNA
Source: RNAcentral